RNAcentral lists this ribosomal RNA (207 nucleotides) under uncultured bacterium. RNAcentral's name for it is "partial 16S ribosomal RNA". It matches the Rfam family "Bacterial small subunit ribosomal RNA", at positions 568 to 774 of the family's 1533-position model. The record is from RNAcentral.
AGUGUAGGUGGUUAUGUAAGUCACAUGUGAAAGCCUUGGGCUAAACUCAAGAAAUGCAUGUGAUACUGUGUAACUAGAGUGUGAGAGGGGUAAGUGGAAUUCCUAGUGUAGCGGUAGAAUGCGUAGAGAUUAGGAGGAACACCAGAGGCGAAGGCGGCUUACUGGCUCAUAACUGACACUGAGGCUCGAAAGCGUGGGGAGCAAACA